GCCGCCCAGGGUUUCGAUGCCUUUGUCGCUGGGCCCGGGCUUCCUCCGAGCUGGGCAUUUGGUCAAGCCUGGGGUCCACUGUCCUUUAAGUCCGAGGGGCCGGCAAAUGGGCGACGGGAGGGCGCCCGAGUGGGAGACGCCAGGCUGCCCGGCGAGGGUCGCGCUCGCGUAGCGGAGCCCUGGGCGGAUCUGCGCGCCGCAACCCCCAGCCCAACGUGGUCCCCCCGCGCCCUUACCCCGCGGGGCCGCCUCCCUAGCGGGCCGGGGGAGGGAGAAGCCAUGGAGCCCCCGGGCAGAGGUUCACUGUCUGAAGACUCAAACCUUCCCUCUGCAGGAAACCCGAAAGAAAUUGGCAUGGCUACUUUGCAACUGACCCCUACAUCCCAGGCCUUCCAAUUCCCAAGUCUGAUGUAGUCUCUCAGUUGGAGUGUGGGAUGGAGCUAGAGAAAGUCUCAAAAGCAUCUGGUACAGGUG
Long non-coding RNA from Sorex fumeus (smoky shrew), 474 nucleotides. RefSeq lists it as uncharacterized. Lineage: Eukaryota; Metazoa; Chordata; Mammalia; Eulipotyphla; Soricidae. The transcript is spliced from 3 exons. The record is from RefSeq and is a predicted model, not a curated record.